Molecule: ribosomal RNA, 449 nt
Filed under: uncultured bacterium
Lineage: Bacteria
Description: partial 16S ribosomal RNA
Rfam family: Bacterial small subunit ribosomal RNA
Source: RNAcentral
GUCGAGAAUCUUUCACAAUGGGGGCAACCCUGAUGGAGCGACGCCGCGUGGAGGAUAAGGUCUUCGGAUUGUAAACUCCUGUCAUGCGUGAACAAGGUUGCUUGGUUAAUACCUGGGCAAAUUGAUGGUAACGCAAGAGGAAGAGACGGCUAACUCUGUGCCAGCAGCCGCGGUAAUACAGAGGUCUCAAGCGUUGUUCGGAAUCACUGGGCGUAAAGGGUGCGUAGUUGGCGUGGUAAGUCAGAUGUGAAAGCCCGGGGCUCAACCUCGGAACUGCAUCCGAUACUGCCAUGCUAGAGUACUGGAGAGGUGACUAGAAUUCUCGGUGUAGCAGUGAAAUGCGUAGAUAUCGAGAGGAAUACCAAAGGCGUAGGCAGGUCACUGGACAGUUACUGACACUGAGGCACGAAGGCCAGGGGAGCGAACGGGAUUAGAUACCCGGGUAGUCC